This 334-nucleotide unclassified non-coding RNA is filed under the name soil metagenome. RNAcentral describes it as "partial contains 5.8S ribosomal RNA, internal transcribed spacer 2, and large subunit ribosomal RNA". The stretch from base 1 to 120 matches the Rfam family "5.8S ribosomal RNA", at positions 35 to 154 of the family's 154-position model. The record is from RNAcentral.
GAUGAAGAACGCAGCGAAAUGCGAUAAGUAAUGUGAAUUGCAGAAUUCAGUGAAUCAUCGAAUCUUUGAACGCACAUUGCGCCCAUUAGUAUUCUAGUGGGCAUGCCUGUUCGAGCGUCAUUUCAACCCUUAAGCCUAGCUUAGUAUUGGGAAUCGACUUUACUGUCGUUCCUCAAAUUCAACGGCGGAUUUAUAGCAAUCUCUGAACGUAGUAAUUUUUUUUCUCGUUUUUGAAAUACUAUAAACCUCAGCCGCUAAACCCCCAAUUUCUUAUGGUUGACCUCGGAUCAGGUAGGAACACCCGCUGAACUUAAGCAUAUCAAUAAGCGGAGGA